ACAUGAAGCUCUCGGGAUGUGUCGAGAGAUGCCGUAUAUAGACCGUCGAAAUCCCAAAUAUGUUCAAUGAAAUUGCAUAAAUCAGUAUUUCAAACGUGAAAAGACGCCAGAUGCAGCUUGCCAGCUGGCUUAAUUUGAUUAAGUCGUAAUUACAACAUGCAAGAGCCAAUGAUGGUUUGGACUGAAGCUCAGGACAGAAAACCUCCAGAAAAACAACAGACCGGAAACUCCACAUCUGACUCUCCGGGUGCGAUGGGCACACAGAUGGUGAGGUUGGGAUUGGUCAUGUAACUGUCCUCGCUUUCUGGAAAAACAUACUUCUCGAAGCUUCCCAGUCCGCCGUUGCACUCUGUGUGAUUCAGGGUCACUUGUGCCUCUUUGGAUUUGCGUCUGUGCCGCGUCAGGUUCCCGCUGAAGAGAUCUUUGAUGCCGUUCAGGAGCCAAGAGAAACCAAAUUGGAUUCGAGCGAUGGCGAUCUGAAGGUUGUUCAUUUCUCCGUCUUCAUCCGGCGCUGAUAGAUUAUCAGAGCUGAACGAGCUCAGCAACAGGGCCAGAAACAGAUUCAAGACCUAGAGAGGAACCAA
Molecule: long non-coding RNA, 584 nt
Organism: Danio aesculapii
Lineage: Eukaryota; Metazoa; Chordata; Actinopteri; Cypriniformes; Danionidae
Exons: 3
Source: RefSeq, a predicted model, not a curated record